Acanthopagrus latus (yellowfin seabream) is the source of this 759-nucleotide long non-coding RNA. RefSeq lists it as uncharacterized. The transcript has 2 exons. The record is from RefSeq and is a predicted model, not a curated record. Lineage: Eukaryota; Metazoa; Chordata; Actinopteri; Spariformes; Sparidae.
AGUUGUAGUUGGUUACUUUUAUAAAUACGCACAACAUAUGGUUAUAAUUAUUAUUAUUACUACUAUUAUUAGUAGUAGUAGUAUUAUUAUUAUUCAUAUAUUAUGCAGUCAGUCUUCCAUAUUUAAAGUUAAAUUAGAUUAACCAAGUUGACAGUUUGGUAGGCAGAUGUUACAUUUACAUGUCAGGAUCUGGUUAUUAUAACACAGAUUCAAUAUUUAACUGUCAUGUAUCAUCACAGUAACAUCGUUACACACAUUAGCAGCUUAACACUCAUUAAAAUAUUAUAAAAUACAUCCUGUGGUUUGGUACCUACCUGUAUACUAAACAUAUAAGGACUCGUUAACGAUUCUAAUCAUCAUGUUACAUCUGCCUCAGCCACUCCUACAUCUAGGGGUUAACUGUCAUUUCCAGUCUCUCUCCCUCUCCUCGUGUGAGUGUGUGAGUGCUUCAGGUGUGCCGGACACAGAGCAGAGCGGUAACCACCAGCUGCAGACAAUCCUGCAGUCAGCCUGCCUUCAUAUGCUCAGCCCUGCCACUUCCACGCUGCCAGAUCGUAGCCACUGUUGAACUUUUUGCCUGCUCAGCUCUCCGGCCGCUGUCACUCUGGACCUGCUCCCCCGUCUGCUCCGUUAAUCCCGCUCAGGAUUCAGCCUCCUGGACUGCUCCCACCUCCUGAACUCUUCCCCUUCACUGACUCUGGACCAUCCCAGCCCUGCCCCAGAUCCAACCUAGUAAAAAUAAACUAAAUCUGGUUUGAA